UACGUAGGGACCAAGCGUUGUCCGGAAUCAUUGGGCGUAAAGAGCGUGUAGGCGGCUUGUUAAGUCUUGCGUGAAAUCUCGGGGCUCAACCCCGAGCGGUCGUGAGAAACUGGCAGGCUAGAGUGCGGGAGAGGAGAGUGGAAUUCCUGGUGUAGCGGUGAAAUGCGCAGAUAUCAGGAAGAACACCCGUGGCGAAGGCGGCUCCCUGGAACGCAACUGACGCUGAGACGCGAAAGCGUGGGGAGCAAACAGG
RNAcentral lists this ribosomal RNA (253 nucleotides) under uncultured bacterium. RNAcentral describes it as "partial 16S ribosomal RNA". It matches the Rfam family "Bacterial small subunit ribosomal RNA", at positions 524 to 776 of the family's 1533-position model. The record is from RNAcentral.